GCGCACUUUGUCAGCUCAUACACUAAAUUUAGGAUGGCACAGAGAAGAUUGGCAUGGCCUCUGCACAAUGGACAUGUAAAUCUGUGAAACAUUCCACACUAUC
Molecule: small nuclear RNA, 103 nt
Organism: Apodemus sylvaticus (European woodmouse)
Lineage: Eukaryota; Metazoa; Chordata; Mammalia; Rodentia; Muridae
Source: RefSeq, a predicted model, not a curated record